UUAUCCAGCCUUUUAAAAGGCGUUUUGGCCGUCUGGCAGAAGGAACCCAGCUAUCUAGGCAGCUGGCAUUGUUUUAGCUUCCUUCCUCCCUUACUGUCGACCAUUUUUGUGCAGCAAUGGUGAGGAUAUGCUGCAUGAAAAUGUGCAGUUAGGAUUGAUCCAGAAAUCCCAUUUAAAACUCUCCAAUUGACCUUCUUUUUUUUCAUUCGAUUAAAAACAAAAUUUGAAGAAAACAGAGAGAAAUUUAGAGAGAGAACUGGUGAGGAAAAGUAAGAGAAUCCGAGCAGGAAAGAGAGUGCAGAAAAAAAAACAACCGUGUGUGUGUAGUUCGGUGCUGAAGGGGAGCUCUGGUGAGUCUUCUUCUCAUAGAGUUUGCUUCCUUUUUGAUUCCAAAAUAGUCAGACGUCCUUCUUCCAGAAAUUUUAAACCCAGAAUUGCAGCAACUUCGCUGAACUGUUACUGCUACGCCUGCUAACCCCGUUAUGCAGAUAAAUUCGGGUUUCUACUUCUUUCUACUUCCAGAUUUCACUCAUUUUCUUAAUCCUAGAUUGUAAAUCGUUAGAAUUUUAGCAACAUGUUAGGAAUCGAUUAAACAAGCUGAAUACUCUUCAAAAAAACAAGAAAUUAAUCCCAUUUCUGCAGUAAUUGCAGAACUGUUCUUCAACCUUCAAAACCGACUCUGUCCUUGUAUUUUUCAGUUGAUUUCUGCUACUUCUUUGAGGUAAGAUGGGUAAUAUUCUAGAUUAUAUAAAUAUGACAUUUAUAGAUUGCAUUUCAUGGGGUAAUUCUCUUUAAAAUGCAUAAUGAUGUGGAGUUUUAAAAUAGAAAGGGUGAGUGUGUACAUUAUUGUGUUCAAUGUUUAUAUGAAUUGUUUUGUUGAUAUUUUUAUGUGGAUUUGUUGAUGAUUUAACUCAAACCAAUGACGAAGGUUAUUUGCAAACAGAAAAUGGGAAGCAAAGGGAUGAAACAGGGGCCCAAUUGCCUCUGUCAAGUAGGAUUCCCAAUUCCCUCUAGCAGAUUGCAAUUUCUAUAGUUGGUCGAGCCGGCGAGUGUUAGAGAUGUUCGUGUUGCGAUUUUUGUCAGUGAAUAAAACUUAAAUUUCUAUUGAUUUUAUUUUACCAAAAUUAAUAAUUUAAAAUGUGUUUAAAUAGAUUUAAAUUAAAUUUAAAUUUUUUAAAAUUAAUUUACUACUAUUUAAAAAAUAAAUAUAAAUAAAAUAUUUUAAAAGAUAAAUUCUCAAUAAUAACAUAAUUUUUUUUAAAAAUAAAC
Molecule: long non-coding RNA, 1269 nt
Filed under: Carica papaya (papaya)
Lineage: Eukaryota; Viridiplantae; Streptophyta; Magnoliopsida; Brassicales; Caricaceae
Description: long non-coding RNA (CPAP_LNC000603)
Source: RNAcentral